RNAcentral lists this ribosomal RNA (460 nucleotides) under uncultured bacterium. RNAcentral's name for it is "partial 16S ribosomal RNA". It matches the Rfam family "Bacterial small subunit ribosomal RNA", at positions 338 to 795 of the family's 1533-position model. The record is from RNAcentral.
CCUACGGGGUGCUGCAGUGAGGAAUAUUGGUCAAUGGACGAGAGUCUGAACCAGCCAAGUAGCGUGAAGGAUGACUGCCCUAUGGGUUGUAAACUUCUUUUAUAUGGGAAUAAAAUGUUCCACGUGUGGGAUUUUGUAUGUACCAUAUGAAUAAGGAUCGGCUAACUCCGUGCCAGCAGCCGCGGUAAUACGGAGGAUCCGAGCGUUAUCCGGAUUUAUUGGGUUUAAAGGGAGCGUAGGUGGAUUGUUAAGUCAGUUGUGAAAGUUUGCGGCUCAACCGUAAAAUUGCAGUUGAAACUGGCAGUCUUGAGUACAGUAGAGGUGGGCGGAAUUCGUGGUGUAGCGGUGAAAUGCUUAGAUAGCACGAAGAACUCCGAUUGCGAAGGCAACUCACUGGACUGCAACUGACACUGAGGCUCGAAAGUGUGGGUAUCGAACAGGAUUAGAUACCCUGGUAGUC